GAUGAACGCUGGCGGCGUGCUUAACACAUGCAAGUCGAACGAAGCACUUAAGACGGAUUCUUCGGAUGAAGGCUUUUGUGACUGAGUGGCGGACGGGUGAGUAACGCGUGGGUAACCUGCCUCAUACAGGGGGAUAACAGUUAGAAAUGGCUGCUAAUACCGCAUAAGCGCACAGUACCGCAUGGUACGGUGUGAAAAACUCCGGUGGUAUGAGAUGGACCCGCGUUGGAUUAGCUAGUUGGGAGGGUAACGGCCUACCAAGGCGACGAUCCAUAGCCGGCCUGAGAGGGUGGACGGCCACAUUGGGACUGAGACACGGCCCAGACUCCUACGGGAGGCAGCAGUGGGGAAUAUUGCACAAUGGGGGAAACCCUGAUGCAGCGACGCCGCGUGAGCGAAGAAGUAUUUCGGUAUGUAAAGCUCUAUCAGCAGGGAAGAAAAUGACGG
Molecule: ribosomal RNA, 447 nt
Filed under: uncultured bacterium
Lineage: Bacteria
Description: bacterial SSU rRNA
Rfam family: Bacterial small subunit ribosomal RNA
Source: RNAcentral